This 48-nucleotide transfer RNA is filed under the name Anaerostipes hadrus. Its description in RNAcentral is "tRNA-Lys". It matches the Rfam family "tRNA", at positions 1 to 46 of the family's 71-position model. From Rfam's summary of the family: Transfer RNA (tRNA) molecules are approximately 80 nucleotides in length. The record is from RNAcentral. Lineage: Bacteria; Bacillati; Bacillota; Clostridia; Lachnospirales; Lachnospiraceae.
GGGUGUGUAGCUCAGGUGGUAGAGCACUUGACUUUUAAUCAAGUUGUC